This 539-nucleotide ribosomal RNA is filed under the name uncultured Entrophosporaceae. Its description in RNAcentral is "SSU rRNA". It matches the Rfam family "Eukaryotic small subunit ribosomal RNA", at positions 548 to 1081 of the family's 1831-position model. Lineage: Eukaryota; Fungi; Glomeromycota; Glomeromycetes; Entrophosporales; Entrophosporaceae. The record is from RNAcentral.
UUGGAGGGCAAGUCUGGUGCCAGCAGCCGCGGUAAUUCCAGCUCCAAUAGCGUAUAUUAAAGUUGUUGCAGUUAAAAAGCUCGUAGUUGAAUUUCGGGAUUGACGUGACGGUCAUGCCUUAAGGGGUAUGAACUGUUACUGUUGAUUUCUCACCUUCUGGAGAAACUUGAUGUCCUUUAUUGGGUGUCUUGCGGAUCCAGGACCUUUACCUUGAAAAAAUUAGAGUGUUUAAAGCAGGCAUUUUUGCUCGAAUACAUUAGCAUGGAAUAAUAGAAUAGGACGGCAUGGUUCUAUUUUGUUGGUUUCUAGGAUCACCGUAAUGAUUAAUAGGGAUAGUUGGGGGCAUUAGUAUUCAAUUGUCAGAGGUGAAAUUCUUGGAUUUAUUGAAGACUAACUACUGCGAAAGCAUUUGCCAAGGAUGUUUUCAUUAAUCAAGAACGAAAGUUAGGGGAUCGAAGACGAUCAGAUACCGUCGUAGUCUUAACCAUAAACUAUGCCGACUAGGAAUCAGACGAUGUUAAUUUUUAAUGUACUCGUUC